This 329-nucleotide RNase P RNA is filed under the name unidentified bacterium SM-A39. RNAcentral describes it as "partial RNAase P". It matches the Rfam family "Bacterial RNase P class A", at positions 43 to 352 of the family's 367-position model. From Rfam's summary of the family: Ribonuclease P (RNase P) is a ubiquitous endoribonuclease, found in archaea, bacteria and eukarya as well as chloroplasts and mitochondria. Its best characterised activity is the generation of mature 5'-ends of tRNAs by cleaving the 5'-leader elements of precursor-tRNAs. Cellular RNase Ps are ribonucleoproteins. The record is from RNAcentral.
GAGGAAAGUCCGGGCUCCACAGAGAAUGAUGCCGGGUAAUGCCCGGGCCUGUUCAGACUCUCUGCAUUGCAGUUUGUUAAGCAGGACAGAUAGUGCCACAGAAAUAAACCGCCUGGUUUAAAAUCUUGGAUUUUCAGUCAGGUAAGGGUGAAAAGGCGAGGUAAGAGCUCACCGGUCAACCGGUAACGGAUGAUGCAAGGUAAACCUCAUCAGGAGCAAAGUCAAAUAGGUAGGAGGGUUUCUCGUCCAUAUCCUACGGGUAGAUUGCUAAAAGCUUUCAGCAAUGGUAGUUUUAGAUAGAUGGUAAUCCUAGACAGAACCCGGCUUAC